UCUAGCAUGGCAGAUUAGUGCAAUGAAUUUAAGCUUCAUUCAAAAAGUUAUACUUUUACUAGAA
This 64-nucleotide transfer RNA is filed under the name Hemiodoecus leai. Its description in RNAcentral is "tRNA-Leu". Lineage: Eukaryota; Metazoa; Arthropoda; Insecta; Hemiptera; Peloridiidae. The record is from RNAcentral.